Haemorhous mexicanus (house finch) is the source of this 1087-nucleotide long non-coding RNA. RefSeq lists it as uncharacterized. The record is from RefSeq and is a predicted model, not a curated record. Lineage: Eukaryota; Metazoa; Chordata; Aves; Passeriformes; Fringillidae. The transcript is spliced from 2 exons.
AACAACAGUAAUGUGUUUCCAUCUUUGAAGAGUGAGAAGCUGCCGAGCCAGCACUACAAUGGUCAUAAACACGGUUUUUGAAUAAGUUCAAUAAAUUCAAUGCACUUCUUGUUAAAAUUAUUGCAACAGAGAUAUUCUACUAACAGAAGUGAAGGCAGACAACACUUCUGCCUGUUUGUGAAAGCACUUGCAGCUUUGAUUUGAGAAAUGUGACAUAUUAUAGACAAAAAAGGAAAGCAAACCUUAUUUGGAAAAUCUAAGCAAAAAUGUAUGAGUGAGGAAAGUUACAAAAACCAAACAGGCCUUUAAAAAUAUUUGGGGGUUCCCAGAAAGACAUUUCCUGAGUUCUUUAUGACUAUCUGAAUCUCACAAACAAUAAGGAUAGGAAACAUGACAUCCAAGGACACGUGGCAGCACAGGCAAAAUGCCAGCGAUGAUGGAGAACAGUCACCCUGACGACAAGAGCAGCCUUGUUGAAGAGAAGAUGCCAGACAAUGGAACAUCCACUCCCAGGGGAGAGUCUGAAAGCCUGAGGUGUGUUGGAGCCUCCUGGUAUGAAAAGGAAUGUUCCACAUGCCAUUUCAAGACUGAAGCAUGGGUGAUGGAUACAUGGAUGCGUCUCAAGACUGAAAAAAAAAAUAAUAAAACAACAUGGAAACACUGUCGGAAGCAAUGGAAUGGAUUAGAAAGGACUGGUUGGGGUUACAGUCUGAGAUGGGAGGGCUGUGCUUGGAGUCACUGCUGGAGCCCAGGAUGCACCUUGCAGGUUCAAUAACAGUCCUGGCAAAGACCUCUUUCCUUGGCCAGACAAGCACAACCACUUAUUCCGGCUGAAGGGGCUGUGGCAGGUGUCUUGCCCUUUGGCUGUGUGCAGAUUAAGCUCCUGGUGGGUGCUGGGCCUCUACCUGAAGCUACCCCAAUGGUUAUUCAGCUCUAAGAGCUGUUGCUGAAUGCUGCUCUCUGACAAAGCUGGGCUGCAUGAAACCAGCUGAGUUUAGUGUUUGCAGGAGCUAUUUACCUGUGGAUGAUAGUCACAGUACUGCAUUUCAAUGGCAUAGGAAGUAGAGAAUAAAAAAAAUUGUUUUUA